GAAAGGGGAGCAAUCCCUGAGUAGAGUGGCGUACAGGUGAGUAACACGUGGGUAAUCUACCCUUUGGUGGGGAAUAACCCUGGGAAACCGGGGCUAAUACCGCAUCGACCCCGAGAGGGGAAAGCCGAAAGGCGCCGAAGGAGGAGCCCGCGGCCGAUUAGCUCGUUGGUAGGGUAACGGCCUACCAAGGCCAAGAUCGGUAGCCGGCCUGAGAGGGCACACGGCCACUUUUGCACUGAAACACGGGCCGAACUCCUACGGGAGGCAGCAGUGGGACUCCUACGGGAUCACUCCCUGGGACUCNUGAAGGAGGCAGCAUGCGGUCCNUUACGGGAGU
This 337-nucleotide small RNA is filed under the name uncultured bacterium. Its description in RNAcentral is "bacterial SSU rRNA". The stretch from base 1 to 275 matches the Rfam family "Bacterial small subunit ribosomal RNA", at positions 70 to 358 of the family's 1533-position model. The record is from RNAcentral.